This 276-nucleotide ribosomal RNA is filed under the name uncultured bacterium. Its description in RNAcentral is "partial 16S ribosomal RNA". It matches the Rfam family "Bacterial small subunit ribosomal RNA", at positions 333 to 606 of the family's 1533-position model. The record is from RNAcentral.
AUGUUCCUACGGGAGGCAGCAGUGAGGAAUAUUGGUCAAUGGCCGCAGGGCUGAACCAGCCAAGUCGCGUGAGGGAUGACGGUCCUAUGGAUUGUAAACCUCUUUUGUCAGGGAGCAAAGGGCGCCACGUGUGGCGUUUUGCGAGUACCUGAAGAAAAAGCAUCGGCUAACUCCGUGCCAGCAGCCGCGGUAAUACGGAGGAUGCGAGCGUUAUCCGGAUUUAUUGGGUUUAAAGGGUGCGUAGGCGGGCUGUUAAGUCAGCGGUAAAAGUCGGGG